UGGGGGAUAUUGCACAAUGGGCGAAAGCCUGAUGCAGCGACGCCGCGUGGGGGAUGAAGGCCUUCGGGUUGUAAACUUCUUUUGCUCUGAACAAGGCAUGCCUUUGGGGUGCGUUGAGUGUCGGGGUUGAUUAGCGCCGGCUAACUACGUGCCAGCAGCCGCGGUAAUACGUAGGGCGCGAGCGUUGUCCGGAAUUAUUGGGCGUAAAGGGCUUGUAGGUGGCUGGUUGCGCCUGUCGUGAAAGCUCAUGGCUUAACUGUGGGUUUGCGGUGGGGACGGGCUGGCUUGAGUGCAGUAGGGGAGGCUGGAAUUCCUCGUGUAGCGGUGGAAUGCGCAGAUAUCAGGAGGAAUACCGGUGGCGAAGGCGGGUCUCUGGGCAGUUACUGACGCUGAGGAGCGAAAGCGUGGGGAGCGAACAGG
This 420-nucleotide ribosomal RNA is filed under the name Fusobacteriota bacterium. RNAcentral's name for it is "Fusobacteria bacterium partial 16S ribosomal RNA". It matches the Rfam family "Bacterial small subunit ribosomal RNA", at positions 355 to 776 of the family's 1533-position model. Lineage: Bacteria; Fusobacteriati; Fusobacteriota. The record is from RNAcentral.